Molecule: ribosomal RNA, 253 nt
Filed under: uncultured bacterium
Lineage: Bacteria
Description: partial 16S ribosomal RNA
Rfam family: Bacterial small subunit ribosomal RNA
Source: RNAcentral
UACGUAGGUGGCAAGCGUUAUCCGGAAUUACUGGGCGUAAAGCGCACGCAGGCGGCCUUUUAAGUUUGACGUGAAAGCUCCCGGCUUAACUGGGAGAGGUCGUUGAAGACUGGAAGGCUUGAGACGAUGAGAGGGGUGCAGAAUUCCCGGUGUAGUGGUGGAAUGCGUAGAUAUCGGGAGGAAUACCAGUGGCGAAAGCGGCACCCUGGCAUCGGUCUGACGCUCAUGUGCGAAGGCGUGGGGAGCGAACGGG